Molecule: long non-coding RNA, 1029 nt
Filed under: Capsicum annuum
Lineage: Eukaryota; Viridiplantae; Streptophyta; Magnoliopsida; Solanales; Solanaceae
Description: long non-coding RNA (CANN_LNC020831)
Source: RNAcentral
UCAACACGUGUGCUUCUAGCCAUUUAGUUCAAAAAGUGGUAUCAACAUGUGUGCUUCUAGCCAUUUCAAUUUAAUUUAAAACACUUUUGACAAUGUACUUAUUUAUACAAACUUAAUUGUUCAAUAAUGUGUGUACGUGUCUUUUUUUUUUUUUAAAACACAGUAGUCUUUUAUCCUGGCACAUAUAUAUUGUAUUGAGUUAAUAUAUAAAAAUGACCCUAAACUUGAAAUCAUUUUAUAAUUUUGAUCUUAAACUUUCAUAGUGCACAAAUAUGACCUUUAACUAUUUCAAAACUAAACAAAUAUGACCUUCCGUCCUAUGUGGCAAAACGUGUGUGUUGCAUGCAAAAUGGCGCGCGUCGAGCUUAAAUUCUGAGCAUUUCAACGGUAAAAAAACUGGCUAAUUGACACUUGGAAGAUCGUUUCUCUCUUUUUUUUGUCUUUGAAGCUUCACUUUUCUUUUGUUGUCUUAUAUUUUCUCUAAAACCUCUCAAUUCAUCAUCAAUUUCACUAUCAUCUUCCUCAGGAAUGCAAUCAAAGGUCUUCUCUUCAAACUCAUUGAAGUCAUUAUUUUCUUCUUGAGGCACUUGUUCAGAACUAGCCACUUCAUUUGACACCUCAUUUAUAAGCUUUUUUAGAUGUGAAGCCCUAGAGCAAUCUCUCAAUUCUUUAUUAUUGACAAAACAUUGGGUACUAUCGAUACAUACUGACCCUUGCAAAAGCGACCUCCAUGAUGAAAAAGUGCAAUAAUAUGACCCAUAAUCUGUGAGAAAAAGUAAUAUCAGUUGAUGAAAACCCUAUUAAAAACUGAAAACGACUCUAAAUUGAAAACACUAACUCUAAAAAUCCUAUUAUGCAAAAACUCUAACUCUAAAAUUGAAAAAGGCACAAAACAUACCUUUCGAAAUUGAGGAUAAAUAACUGGAAACGCCUCAAAUUUAUGCAAAUUUGAUGGAAAAUUUCAACAUUUUUUGUCAAUUGAAUCAAAGAUUUGGGAAAUUUUCUUCGGACUUCAAAAGUGUUAAGACG